Molecule: ribosomal RNA, 253 nt
Filed under: uncultured bacterium
Lineage: Bacteria
Description: partial 16S ribosomal RNA
Rfam family: Bacterial small subunit ribosomal RNA
Source: RNAcentral
UACGUAGGGGGCAAGCGUUGUCCGGAUUCAUUGGGCGUAAAGAGCGUGUAGGCGGCCAGGUAGGUCGGUUGUGAAAACUGGAGGCUCAACCUUCAGAGGUCGACCGAAACCAUCUGGCUAGAGUCCGGGAGAGGAGAGUGGAAUUCCUGGUGUAGCGGUGAAAUGCGCAGAUAUCAGGAAGAACACCCGUGGCGAAAGCGGCUCUCUGGAACGGUACUGACGCUGAGGAGCGAAAGCCAGGGGAGCAAACGGG